CAGAUGCAUUUCUAUUAAAAAAAUUGCUUGUUUAAAUACCAGGCAAAUCGUUCUACUAUUCUCAUUCACAACACCGCUGUCCUACCCAUGGGAAAUUUUGUUUGUGACCUUUCAUCUAGAUUCUGGAGCUCGACAGAUCUUCCUUACCAUCUCCUUCCAACUUUCUCUAAUCGCACCACAAGCGCUCACAAACCACUCUACGAUCGUGAUUUGGAGAGUUGAGAUUCGAAUCGAUCCUGACUUCUAAGUUUGAGCAAUUCGAGGAGAAUGGCAGGAUUAGCUAGAACCCUCGCCGUGCAUCUGUUUCUCGUUCUUUGGGCCUCCCAAGCAAAAUCAGAUCAAUUGGAGUUCACCCCCCUACAGCUCCAGCAAAUUGACGAGUCCAAAUCACACUUCGAGGUGGACCAUGAAUUCGCCUACACCAGUAACAAACCUGUCUUCAUAUCUGGGUUCUCUAAAGCGCAAGAGAAUUUCAUUUUGGAACGGUUCGGAGCAUUCUUUAGCAGUCAACCAACCAACCAAGUCGAUUUGGCUAAGUGGGGGGCACCUUCCUCCAUCAAAGCUUCGCCAAUGAUUCCAGUGUGCCCAGCAAUAACGGUCAAGAAAAUCCUCUACACUGGGAUCAAUGUUGACGAUGAACCAGUAGCCGUUGUACAGUUUGGUGAUGUGAACCAGUGGGUUAUAUGGCAACAGUGCUCCUCCAAAGAGUCCCCUCAUAUUUCUCUAUUUCAACACGGCAAACGGGUCGAAUGUUCGCAUACGGUUCGAUCCGUUCCUAUGGUGGUUUUUCGGUUACCCAUUUCUUCUUUCGAUGACGUCACGGUUCAGCACAUCAAGAUCAAGGCAUGCACAAGUCACGUCACUGAGCCCUACCAACAAACAGAUCAAACCGGACCAGAUCCACUUGACCAUCAACCACUUCAACCCUAUUUUCAAUGAUGACCAUAAUACGAAAAACAACAGAAUUAAGAGGGAUCAACCCUUAAUCAACUCAGUUAUCUAUACGCAUUAUUUUGAGAACCUUCGAUUCAAACCGAUUUCUUUUUACUAAUCAAAAUACUUAGACUGAUUUUUUUAUAAUCGAUAUUCAAGGUUUGAAUAGUAGAUUAAGCGUAAUUACGAUAUCUAUCUUUUAGCAGUGAAUGGUAACAUUGAUCCCGAAAUGUAGCUAUCUUUGUUACGUCAUUACUCGAACAAUAUAGAUUUGUACCUAAUUUUUGAUAAAAACUUUCUCUUCUAAAAAAAAAAAACACAUUGCCUAUAUAAUGGAAUCAUCUCGUAUCUCUGUGAACUCUUGCUGCGCUGAUGUUGCAAUUUUGCACAUUCUUACAAUUAAAUUCAACAAUCGUAAUGAUAAUUAUGUGAUAAAUAGCUAUAGUUCUCGGGUAGCAUCUAUUCAAUAAAUAUCAACAUCGAUGGAGAAAUUUGGAACUCUAUAUUCAAAGAAAAUAUCAUAAGUACAAUUGUCAUUAUUUUCCCCCAAAAUAUCUAAGACUAACAUAAUAAUAACAAUAAUAAUGAUGAUGAUGAUAAUAAUAAUAAUAAUAAUAAUAAUAAACAAUAAUAAUAGGCACCUUUAUAGCGCCAUCUAUCUAGAAAUAAUCUAUUCCGAUGCGCAUUGUUACUAUUAUUAUUACCCCGGUUUUAGCUCGAGCUGCCUUUCAGCGCUCAGCGCAUUCAAGGAAUUAAUCCUGCCGGGUACCCAUACACCUCACCUGGGUUGAGUGCAGCACAAUGUGGAUAAAUUUCUUGCUGAAGGAAAACACGCCAUGGCUAGGAUUAAUAAACAUUGUUUAUUAAUUAACAUCUAAGAAUCGUAGAUUCAGGAGUAGAAUUGCAUUGUAUUUAUGGAGACAGGUGGAAAUUUGUAUACAAGAUAAUUAUGUCAUUCAAUUACAAGAAUGAGUAGUGUA
This is a long non-coding RNA of Lytechinus pictus (painted urchin), 1913 nucleotides long. RefSeq lists it as uncharacterized. The record is from RefSeq and is a predicted model, not a curated record. NCBI's taxonomy places the organism in Eukaryota, Metazoa, Echinodermata, Echinoidea, Temnopleuroida, Toxopneustidae. The transcript has 2 exons.